Schistocerca piceifrons (Central American locust) is the source of this 564-nucleotide long non-coding RNA. RefSeq lists it as uncharacterized. The record is from RefSeq and is a predicted model, not a curated record. The transcript has 2 exons. Lineage: Eukaryota; Metazoa; Arthropoda; Insecta; Orthoptera; Acrididae.
GGCGUCGCAGUGUGUCAGGAAGCUCAGUGAAUUCGACAUCACGCAGUAGGCAUUGCACACUGUAGCGUAUAAAAACUCAUCCUGUCUUCAGUCACAAUUUCGUCGCCCGAAUCAGGAACUCAGUAUCAUCUGAAUAUAAAGGAAGAAGUCUAACUGCCACGGGUGACCGCUGAUCGUGUCCGGGUGAACAGCACGGCACCACUGAGGACGAUGCUGCGGAUGCUGCGCUCCAGGCUGCAGCUGCCGGCGCAGCUGCUGGUGAUGCUCGUCGUGUUGACGCUGUUCCUGCUGCUCACACUGUGUCUGCUGCUGCUGCUGCUGCUGCUGACAAUGUCUAUAACCAUGAUAACGGUCUCCAUAGGGCGCAGGUACGUCGUGUCUCUGGGCCUCGGGAAAAUGUUCAAACAAAAUUUCAAGCAACCAGUACACAGUGAGAAAACAACGGACAAAAAUUAAGCCGUCAAGAAAUAUUACCAAUGCAUUAAUCAUUACGACAUUUUAUGUUCACUGUAAAAUAUGAUUAUGUAAUUCCUGAAGAAUAAUAAAUUAAUAUCAAUUAAUGGA